CGAUGUGGGAAGGCCCAGACAGCCAGGAUGUUGGCUUAGAAGCAGCCAUCAUUUAAAGAAAGCGUAAUAGCUCACUGGUCGAGUCGGCCUGCGCGGAAGAUGUAACGGGGCUAAACCAUGCACCGAAGCUGCGGCAGCGAACGUAUCACUUAAAGCGAUUCAGCGGGUUACGAUUGACGGAGCGAAGCGACGUCAAAGCGUAUACAAAGUCGAGUCGGUUUAAGGAUACGUUCGUUGGGUAGGGGAGCGUUCUGUAAGCCUGUGAAGGUGGCCUGUGAGGGUUGCUGGAGGUAUCAGAAGUGCGAAUGCUGACAUAAGUAACGAUAAAGCGGGUGAAAAGCCCGCUCGCCGGAAGACCAAGGGUUCCUGUCC
This 372-nucleotide ribosomal RNA is filed under the name Salmonella enterica. Its description in RNAcentral is "partial 23S ribosomal RNA". It matches the Rfam family "Bacterial large subunit ribosomal RNA", at positions 1071 to 1360 of the family's 2925-position model. The record is from RNAcentral. Lineage: Bacteria; Pseudomonadati; Pseudomonadota; Gammaproteobacteria; Enterobacterales; Enterobacteriaceae.